GCCCUGUUGGUGUAAUGGAAGCACAAGACUCUUCUAAAGUUUUAGAUAAGGUUCGAGUCCUUAAUGGGGUA
RNAcentral lists this transfer RNA (71 nucleotides) under Spirochaetia bacterium. RNAcentral describes it as "tRNA-Arg". It matches the Rfam family "tRNA". From Rfam's summary of the family: Transfer RNA (tRNA) molecules are approximately 80 nucleotides in length. Their secondary structure includes four short double-helical elements and three loops (D, anti-codon, and T loops). Lineage: Bacteria; Pseudomonadati; Spirochaetota; Spirochaetia. RNAcentral also lists the same sequence under 2 other names. The record is from RNAcentral.